AAGAAAUGGGUUUUGAAAGCUUCAUAUUUUCAGCAACUUUGAGGCUUAGCAAGUAAGUGAUUUUAAUGUCUUUCUUGAAGAUUUUUACAUUUUUGUAACCCCUAAAGCAUGAGCUUUCAUAAGAGGGGACUAUUGUGCAAAAUGAUGAAGAGUCUAGGGUUUUUCCAUGAGAGUAAAUGUGUUGUUUGUUGUGUUUUUAUGGAAGAUUAUGAGUUCUAGUUGUCUAAUAAACAACUUUUGUGAAAGAAAUUGCAUGAAAACACCUUAAAAGGGGCUAGAUUGCUAAGUUGUAAAAUGAGUUGUAAAAUGUGUGAAAUAGUUGAAAUUAUGAGUUGCUAUAGUUAUAAAAAUGGUUCAUCUAGACUCAAAGAGUAAAGAAAUGUGAUAAAAAUUAUUUUACGAGCCUAGGGGUAAUUUGGCAAUUUUGGUAAAAUAUAGGGGCAAAAUUGUAAAAAUAGCCCAAGUGCGUCAAUGGACUAAUUUGAUCUGUACAUUGUUUUAAUAAGUUGAAUGUGAUGUUUUAGAUGAUGAAUAUCGAGAUUUGGACCUAGGACGGAAAGAAAUUGAUUAAGGGAUAAUUACGUCUUUUUUUUACCUUUGUGGUAUUGAGGUAAGUUCGUAUGUAAACAAUACCAUGUUAUACAUGUAUUUAAAUGUUAUCAUUACAUGAAUUGUACAAAUACUAAUGUGUAUGUGAUUAAUAGAAAUAUGAUAAGACAAAGCCUUAAUAGACGAGGAAAAAUCCCGUUUGAACAUUUGGAAUAGAAUAGGAUACGAGUGACAUGUCUCUAGGAAUUAUGAGUCUAGAUGACUAGCUCGAGAGUGAGCAUUGAAAUGUCAUGAGAUAUGAGGUAGCUUUACCUACAAUUGAGGCACUUAUGUGCAAAGGCUUUUCCGAGUAUCCAAUUAGUAUUCCAAGUGUUCAACGGGUAAUCCAAGGAAAGAGUUGAUGAUGGUCCCAAUGAGGUAAGUCAUUGGUGAGUAUGCACUUGAGUUAUGUUACGAGUUGUGCAAGUAUGUAUACUAAGCCUAUGAGAAUGCCUUGAUAUGUGAUGAUCUAUGAUGCAUAAUAUGUGUUCUUACCAUGAUGGAUGAAAUGAUGUUGUAUUAAUUUUGUGAACAAUGAUCAUGAAUGAGUAACUUAGCCUUGACAGAUUUGAGUUACGGCAGUAGUGUAACUUUGAAAAUACACUAAAAAUAGUGAAAAAUGAGUUAGAGGUAGAAUAAAGUAUGGGAUUAAAUCUUAAUGAGUCUAUUUUCACAUGAAAGAAAUAGGGGAAGAAAAAGAAUUCUAUAUUGUGUGAUAUUUGAAUUCUUGUAAAACAGGGUCUGAAUGAAUUUGAGAUCCCCUAUUCUGAUUUUAUAAAUUCACCAUAAAUUGUAAAAAAAUUAUUAAGAGUCAUACCUUACAUGCAUAGAUUCCUUAUUGAGUCUAUUUUUACGGGAAACAAACGGCAUGGUCAUUGGAAUUCUGUAUAGGGAGAAAUUUGGUUCGUAGUGUACAGGGGUCAGAGUAGUCAUACCCUGAAACAUGGAAUACUUUAACUAAUAAACUGUACUAAAUGGAUCGACCAAAAAUUUUGAAAAUUUUAUGGAAGAAAGAUAAACGAGUCUAAUUUCAGGGAAAAUUUAUGGAACUUAAUUCGGAGUUUCGUAGCUCCAGAUAUAAAUAAUUCAGUGACUGUUGUGUAGGAAGACAGCUUGUCGUAAACUUGAGAAUAUGUUGUAAACAUUGAUAAAACAAGUUAAUGAGUUGCUUAUUGUUUUCAUAUGAACUUACUAAGCGAAAGCUUACCCCCUUCUUUUCCAUGUUCUCUAGGGUUUCCAGGUUUGUUCGGGUUGGAGUUCGUCGGAGAUAUUAUUACACUGUCAAGCUAACGCUAUCGGUGUAGUGAUUUCAAGUACUUUGAGUCUAUGGCAUGUAUAGGAGUUUAAAUAUUAGAGUAUGUGAUAUGGAUUUGACCAUAUGUGUUGGCCUAUUUUGAUUAUGGGAUUAUAAAUUCAUUUUAAUUAUUUGAGAUUUCAUGACCCUAUUUAGUAUAGAAGUGUUAGUAAAAGUUAGGUAGCACCUCGAACACCGUCCCGGCGUCGGAUACGGGCAAGAGGUGUUACAAUGAAGACAGCAUCCUUGGGUGAAAGUCACUAUUUUUUGUUAUUUCAGAUGAUUGCAGCCGUAUGAGUUGGGUGUAUUUUCUUCACUCCAAAUCAGAAGCAUUCGAGACUUUUAAGAAGUUCAAGGCACUCAUUGAAGAGCAAAGUGGAAGAAGUAUCAAGGCUUUGAGUAUUGAUCGAGGAGGAGAAUUUUUGUCUAAUGAAUUUAACCAGUUUUGUGAGGAGCAGGGCAUACAUAGAGAGUUGACAACACCUUAUACACCGCAGCAAAACGGUGUGGCUAAACGUAAGAAUCGAACAAUUGUCGAAAUGGCAAGAAGUUUGUUGAGAUCUAAGGGGUUGCCAGAUAAGUUUUGGGCUGAGAGUGUUGUUGUUGUUGUUUAUUUAUUGAAUUUGUCUCCAACAAUGGUGGUUUUUAACUGAAUACCUUAUGAAGCGUGGAGUGCUAGGAAACCUUUAGUAAGCCAUUUGAGAAUAUUUGGUUGUAUUGCCUAUUCUUUGGUAGAUUCACACAAUCAAAGCAAGCUUGAUGAAAAGUCUGUAAAAUGUAUCUUUGUUGGUUAUUGCUCUCAAUUCAAAGCAUAUAGGUUUUACAACCCUUUGAGUGGCAAAGUGAUUAUUAGCAGGAAUGUUGUUUUUGAUGAAAGUGCAAGCUGGGAUUGGAAUAAAAAGCAGGUACAUCAGCAAAUUUCUAUGCCGAUUGAGGUUUCACAAUAUGAAAGACAAGAUUUAAAUUCAGCAAGUUCACCUCCUAACUCACUAAGAGCUACAAUUCCUGAAGAGACUUUAGCUGAGAAACUCCCACUUAGAAGAUCAACAAGAGUCAGAAAGCCGAAUCCGAAAUAUGUUGAUGACACUUAUGCAUCUUAUCAGUUUGCUCUUGCUGUUUCAGAUCCUAUAUAUUAUCAAGAAGCUGGCGAAAAAGAAGAGUGGCAAAUGGCAAUGGAGGAAGAGAUAAAAGCUAUUGAGAAGAAUAGAACAUGGGAAAUGGUAGACUUACCGAAAGACAAAAGUGCAAUUGGCUUGAAGUGGGUGUUCAAAACAAAGUUUGCUGCCGAUGAAAGCGUACAGAAACACAAAGCUUGUCUUGUGGCGAAAGGUUAUGCACAACAACAUGGUGUUAAUUUCAAAAAAACUCUCUCUGGUAGCUCGAUUUGAAACAGUGAGGCUUGUUCUAGCAUUGGCUGCACAAUUGCAAUGGCCUGUUUAUCAAUUUGAUGUCAAGUCAGCAUUCCUUAAUGGAUAUCUAUAAGAAGAGGUUUAUGUAGCAUAGCCGAAAGGUUUUAUAAAGAAGGGCAAUGAAAUGAAGGUGUACUAGCUGAAAAAUGCGUUAUACGGAUUGAAACAAGCCCCUCGAGCAUAGUAUAGCAAGAUUGAUGGGUAUUUCCAAAAAAAAAAGGUACGUGAGAAGUGAGAACGAGCCCACCUUGUAUGUGAAAAAGGAAGGUAAUGAUUUCAUAAUUGUUUGUCUUUAUAUUGAUGAUAUCAUUUAUACUAGUCCUUCUACCUUUCUUGUGGAUGAGUUUAAAUAUCAAAUGAUCAAUGAAUUUGAGAUGUCGGAUAUGGGUCUACUGCAUUAUUUCCUUAGUCUUGAAGUUUAUCAUGCUGAAGAUGGUAUUUUUAUCUCACAAAGAAAAUAUGCCAAGGACCUUCUUAGUAAGUUUGGCAUGUUUAAUUGCAAGUCUGCAACUACACCCAUGAAUAUCAAUGAGAAAUUGCAGCAAGAAGAUAAAUGAGAAAUGGCAGAUGCAAAAAGGUUCAGAAGCCUGGUAGGUGGUUUAAUCUACUUGACGCACACCAGGCCCAAUAUUGCAUUCCUUGUUAGUGUUAGUUCUCAGUUUAUACAACAACCUUCAACAGUUUAUUAUGGAGCUGAAAAAGAGUUUUGCGUUUUAUUGCAGGAACUUUAGAGUAUGGUGUUUGGUACUCCAAAACUUCAAAUUUCAGAUGGUGUGGGUUCAUAGACAGUGAUUGGGCAAGUUAGUUGGAUGAUAGACGAAGUAUUUCAGCAAAUGUUUUCACUCUACGUUCGGGAGUGAUCACUUGGAGUUCGAAAAAAAUAAGCUACAGCAGCACUGUCAACUUCAGAAGCUGAGUAUAUAGCAGCAACCUCAGCAGCUUGUCAAGCCAUUUGGCUAAGAAGAGUGUUAGCAGAUCUCUAACAUGAGCAAAAGGGAGCAAUGGAAAUAUUUUGUGACAACAAAGAAACUAUUACCAUGACAAAAAAUCCAACAUUCCAUAAUAGAACGAAACAUGUAGACAUUCGCUAUCAUUUUAUACGCGAUCUGGUUGCAAAUGGGGAGAUAACAUUGGAAUAUUACAGCACUCAAGAUCAGCUGGCAGAUGUGCUGACCAAGUCAUUGUCUAAAGAGAAGUUUUAUUAUUUUAGAACCUUACUUGGUGUGUGCAAGUUUGAAUCAAUGGGGAGUGUUGGAGAAUGAUUCAAAGUUAGUUGUUUUUUUUAAAUUUAGAUUUAAUUGGGUUGUGCAUCAAUUUAUUAUUUUCCUUAUUUUUCUAUUUUUUGUUGAGAUAUAAUUUAGUGCUAAAUUUUUCUAUUAAGAUUUGCUGCUGUGUAAAGCCUAUAUAAGAGGCUGAUCUUUAGUUGAAUAAUAUACAUCAGUUCUUCCCAAAUAUACUAUAACUUAUUUGUGUCCAUAGACUGUUUGAUAAGAUUACUCUUAGAAACCUUUUUUACCAUCUCUUAUUUUUUAAAGGUUGUUUUGAGUUUCUUUCUCUUUGUGCAGCUGUCAUCUCCAACAGAUUGUGAUUAGUAUGAGAUAUGGUCUCGAUGUGUGAUCGGCCUUGAGAAGUAUCC
This 4927-nucleotide long non-coding RNA is filed under the name Gossypium barbadense (sea-island cotton). RNAcentral's name for it is "long non-coding RNA (GBAR_LNC003921)". Lineage: Eukaryota; Viridiplantae; Streptophyta; Magnoliopsida; Malvales; Malvaceae. The record is from RNAcentral.